Molecule: ribosomal RNA, 253 nt
Filed under: uncultured bacterium
Lineage: Bacteria
Description: partial 16S ribosomal RNA
Rfam family: Bacterial small subunit ribosomal RNA
Source: RNAcentral
UACGUAUGGAGCAAGCGUUAUCCGGAUUUACUGGGUGUAAAGGGAGCGUAGGCGGCAUACCAAGCCUGAUGUGAAAACCCGGGGCCCAACCCCGGGAGUGCAUUGGGAACUGGCAAGCUAGAGUGUCGGAGAGGCAGGCGGAAUUCCUAGUGUAGCGGUGAAAUGCGUAGAUAUUAGGAGGAACACCAGUGGCGAAGGCGGCCUGCUGGACGAUGACUGACGCUGAGGCUCGGAAGCGUGGGGAGCAAACAGG